GACGAACGCUGGCGGCGUGCCUAAUACAUGCAAGUUGAGCGCUGAAGGUUGGUACUUGUACCAACUGGAUGAGCAGCGAACGGGUGAGUAACGCGUGGGGAAUCUGCCUUUGAGCGGGGGACAACAUUUGGAAACGAAUGCUAAUACCGCAUAAAAACUUUAAACACAAUUUUAAGUUUGAAAGAUGCAAUUGCAUCACUCAAAGAUGAUCCCGCGUUGUAUUAGCUAGUUGGUGAGGUAAAGGCUCACCAAGGCGAUGAUACAUAGCCGACCUGAGAGGGUGAUCGGCCACAUUGGGACUGAGACACGGCCCAAACUCCUACGGGAGGCAGCAGUAGGGAAUCUUCGGCAAUGGACGAAAGUCUGACCGAGCAACGCCGCGUGAGUGAAGAAGGUUUUCGGAUCGUAAAACUCUGUUGGUAGAGAAGAACGUUGGUGAGAGUGGAAAGCUCAUCAAGUGACGGUAACUACCCAGAAAGGGACGGCUAACUACGU
This 495-nucleotide ribosomal RNA is filed under the name uncultured bacterium. Its description in RNAcentral is "partial 16S ribosomal RNA". It matches the Rfam family "Bacterial small subunit ribosomal RNA", at positions 28 to 506 of the family's 1533-position model. The record is from RNAcentral.